Molecule: ribosomal RNA, 228 nt
Filed under: uncultured bacterium
Lineage: Bacteria
Description: partial 16S ribosomal RNA
Rfam family: Bacterial small subunit ribosomal RNA
Source: RNAcentral
UGGGCAACCUGCCCUCAGCUCUGGGAUAACUCCAAGAAAUUGGGGCUAAUACCGGAUAUGACCGCUGACCGCAUGGUCUGGUGGUGGAAAGAUUUAUCGGCUGGGGAUGGGCCCGCGGCCUAUCAGCUUGUUGGUGGGGUAACGGCCCACCAAGGUGUCGACGGGUAGCUGGUCUGAGAGGAUGAUCAGCCACACUGGGACUGAGACACGGCCCAGACUCCUACGGGA